Molecule: long non-coding RNA, 231 nt
Filed under: Gallus gallus (chicken)
Lineage: Eukaryota; Metazoa; Chordata; Aves; Galliformes; Phasianidae
Source: RNAcentral
GGCAGGGCCAACCCAGGGGAGCUCAGCUGUAUGCAAUUUGUUCAAGUGACCAGAAGGGGUGGAACCAGGAUCCUCCCCUUCCCAUACCACAUUUAAGGGUUGGCAGUGGAAGCAAAGUUACCUUGUUGGAGGUUCUUGUCUUUGUGAGGCCUUGUGAAGUCAUCAAAUGAUUUGGGACCAUUUGGCUCCUACUCCACCUGGCCUACUGACAUCUGUUGGGAUCACGUGUUU